UGCGUUAACCCCGUGUGUACAUCUCGUCUACUAAUAAUCAGAUAGUAUAACAGAUCAAAACAAAAGCUAUUAAAACAGACACAAGUCUUAUACACGCAGCCGCAGUUCGAAAGAAUUGGGGAACUAGGGUUUCGGAACAGGGGUUUCAAAAUCCAUGCUUGAAUCGCAGGUGAGGUCAUGAAUUAUGUGUAAUAUACAAUUGUUAUGCUUAUCUGUGUAUGUAUAUAUGGCUGUGAUUAUGGUUGACUGCUUGAAUCGGAGGCUGUUAAUAGUGAUGGAGGCUGGUGGGUUUCGUGGUUGUGAUUGACGGUGAAGCCACCGUUGGUUGGUCUGGGUUUAAGUAGAAGGGAAGGAGUUGGUUUGAUUGUUUUGUGGUGAUCGGGGAACGGACGGCUGGUGGUGGUCUGGAUCGUGGCCGGCUGGGCACCGCCGCUACCACGCCGGGAAAGAGAAGCAGCGGCAUAGCUGCACGCGGUUGAGGCUACAGCCGCCAUGGCUGCUGACCAGGCGAGGAGAGAGAGAGAGAGAGAGGGGGGGGGAGAGNUAAAUUGUUGUUCCCGAUUCGUGUAUCGGUUUAUUAGUGUUAGAUAUCAUGUUUAGUUAUACAGUCUGGCAAGUUAGACGACAAAAAUUUGACUGUGUUAGACAAAUAUUGUGUUGAUUGUUGGGAUUGCUUUAUUACAAAGGAAGUGUUGUCCGGGUAUUAAUCUAUUAUUAAGAAUUGGAUUUAAAUUGAGAAUCGAAUUAAGAUUAUAAUUCGGGUUCUAAUUAAGAUUUGGACAGAGAUUCUUGGAUUACCGGUUAUGAUUAUUUAUAAUUACUAAAGCAUGUCAAUCUCGUGAUACGUGACAAUGUGAUUACAUGUUUAAAUUAUGAAUAUUACGUGUAUAUUAUAAUUGAAAAUAUUUAUACCACGAAGGGUAGAAUUAGAUUUUGAUUCAAUUUCGUUAGACGACAAUCUGGUUUGUUCGUCAACUAAAUUAUUAUUUGGUUAUCAUAUAUAGUCGGCUGACUCGUUUAUCAAGGACGUUCAAGAACAGUUGAUUUGUGUUGUCGGAUUGUGUUGAGCCAGAAGCUAGAUGCAAAGGCAAUCUAGAGUUUUCGAGUAACCUGACUAUGAUGUCACUAGUUUUGACAUCAGAGGCAAGUUUUCUAAUUAUGACUUGUACUUAUCACAAGUGAUCUUUUGGUCUAUUCUAUUUAAAUAAGGACAUUCAUAUUCAUAUUUUGCUAUGGCCACUAGUAGUGCAUAUCCUAUAUUUAAAAAUACAAUAUGAUUAUUUAUCUCUUGUAACUACUGCAAGUAUUUUGUUCUACAUCUCUUUAUAACCAAUCAUAUUUUAUCUUCUUCACUCAAUAAACAUUUUGUGCCAUUGCACACAAGUAUUCCUGGUCUCUUGAAUGUUUUUAUAAAAUUUUUAGUUGUUUUCAUUAUUUUAAAAAGGUGAGCUGAUUAAGCUCUGAAAUUAUUUAUUUUAAGAUUUUGACUUCCUCUCUCUCCUAUUGAACUUAUACUUUAUACAAGUAUAUUAGUUGCAUGAAUUACAUUACACAAUUUCGAGCAUGAAUGCUGUUUUACUUGAAUUAUUAUCUUGACAUGUGUACACUCAACAUCAUGUCUAAAAUCUUUUAUCAACUGUUGUUUUCUAUAAAUGUUUCCCCUGAAAAGAACUUUUAUUUAAAUGUUCUAGAAAUGCUGAACCGUUAAUCUAACGGCUAGUAUUAUGAUUUUGAUAUAAAACAAGGUUGUCGAUUAUUUCGAUACCUUGCUUAUUUUGUGAUUGGAAGUACCCUCGGGGACCGUACGCCGGUCCAGUUACAAUUAAGGCCAUUGUGUGCCUUGGAUCCCUUAAAAUUUGGUGACAUGCUUCGUGCAUGAUCCGGUGCUAUCUCGCGACUGAUCAUCGGCUAUAGCAUAGCGUUAAAUUAUUCCAAUCCCUAAAAAUGUUGUGGAAGGUUUAUAUAUUAAUGCUACUCUUUAUUAGUAUUAAGUUUCAGAAAAGUUUUAUAAAUUAAAUUCGAAGUUCAUAUUGUCGCUGAAGCAUUUGUUGCUCAGUGAUAGUUAGAGCCAAGAAUGAAUUGAGAUCUUCUUAUUUAUUCAACUCAUCAUUGUCAUGUUGGUUUAGCAACUAAAUAUAUGGAAAUUUAGUCGAUAAUGAUGGACACUGAAUAUUUAGGGAUUUCUUGAACUGUGGUUUAUGAACAGUUGAUUAUCAAACGUUAUUUUGAACUUCUCAAAUGAAUAAUUUUUGAAGUUCUUGCAAAGGUAUUAUUUUAUGAGAUUUGCUGCAAUGCAAAUCAAAAUGGUUUUAAAGAUUUUGAAGUGAAUCAAUUAUUUGAUUCAAAAUGUUUCUCAUAGUUAGAAACUCUCUCUCUCCAGUUUGGAAUUGCAUUACAAAUGUUUUUAGUAGAAAUCCAUUACCUAUUGGAUUGGAAAAUUCCCCGCAUAUUAUGGAUUUAUCUUAUUAUGCUUCUAAAACUUAUCUUGCUGAGCCUUUUGCUCACCCUUGCUAUUAUUUCUAACGCUUUCAGUUAGAGAUUAAGAUGAUUCGAUUGUUGAGCUGUGCGUAAGAUUGAUGAUAGGCGAGAUUGCCAGGGAGAUGUCUGCAAGAAUAUUUCUGGUUAGAAUUGAAUUAUUUCAGUUUAGUUGUAUAAUAGAUUUAUUUAUUUGGUUAUCAGUUACUCUUCUUAUCGAGGUUUAACUGAUAAUGUAGUUUAAGUUGUAAUAAGAUUGUAAGUUUUGAUUUCUGAUUUCAGUGUUGUAACCUAUUAGCGAUCCUGUUUUUAGGGGGUCAAAGUGAUUUUGAUUUAAAUAUCUUUUAAAAUUUCCAGAUUUUUAAUUAUCUGUUUUACCUUCUUCCGCAAAAUACAGGUUUUUAAAUGAUUUUAUUUUAGUGGCACCAAAUCCAGACCCCCGGAUUUUGGGGAUGUCACACCUCCGUCCCAUUUUAACUCCUUCUGAUUUUUUUACACAUAUUUUAAGGUGUUAAAAAAAUCGCAUAUAAACAUAAUUAUUCUUUAAAAAAUUUAU
RNAcentral lists this long non-coding RNA (3031 nucleotides) under Daucus carota (carrot). RNAcentral describes it as "long non-coding RNA (DCAR_LNC001583)". Lineage: Eukaryota; Viridiplantae; Streptophyta; Magnoliopsida; Apiales; Apiaceae. The record is from RNAcentral.